This 482-nucleotide ribosomal RNA is filed under the name uncultured bacterium. RNAcentral describes it as "partial 16S ribosomal RNA". It matches the Rfam family "Bacterial small subunit ribosomal RNA", at positions 30 to 507 of the family's 1533-position model. The record is from RNAcentral.
AUUGAACGCUGGCGGCAUGCCUUACACAUGCAAGUCGAACGGUAACGGGCCUUCGGGUGCCGACGAGUGGCGAACGGGUGGGUAAUACAUCGGAACGUGCCCGAUCGUGGGGGAUAACGAGGCGAAAGCUUUGCUAAUACCGCAUACGAUCUACGGAUGAAAGCAGGGGACCGCAAGGCCUUGCGCGGACGGAGCGGCCGAUGGCAGAGUAGGUAGUGGGUGGGAUAAAAGCUUACCAAGCCGACGAUCUGUAGCUGGUCUGAGAGGAUGAUCAGCCACACUGGGACUGAGACACGGCCCAGACUCCUACGGGAGGCAGCAGUGGGGAAUUUUGGACAAUGGGCGCAAGCCUGAUCCAGCCAUGCCGCGUGCAGGAUGAAGGCCUUCGGGUUGUAAACUGCUUUUGUACGGAACGAAAAGCCUUCUUUUAAUACAGGAGGGUCAUGACGGUACCGUAAGAAUAAGCACCGGCUAACUACGUG